Molecule: ribosomal RNA, 447 nt
Filed under: uncultured bacterium
Lineage: Bacteria
Description: bacterial SSU rRNA
Rfam family: Bacterial small subunit ribosomal RNA
Source: RNAcentral
UCGGGAAUUUUGGGCAAUGGGCGAAAGCCUGACCCAGCAACGCCGCGUGAAGGAUGAAGUAUUUCGGUAUGUAAACUUCGAAAGAAUAGGAAGAAUAAAUGACGGUACUAUUUAUAAGGUCCGGCUAACUACGUGCCAGCAGCCGCGGUAAUACGUAGGGACCAAGCGUUGUUCGGAUUUACUGGGCGUAAAGCGCGUGUAGGCGGAUUUGUAAGUUGGGGGUGAAAUCCCGAGGCUCAACCUCGGAACUGCCUCCAAAACUACAAGUCUGGACCUAAGUAGAGGCAAGUGGAAUUGCGAGUGUAGAGGUGAAAUUCGUAGAUAUUCGGAAGAACACCAGUGGCGAAGGCGGCUCACUGGACGUGUAUUGACGCUGAGGUACGAAAGCGUGGGGAGCAAACAGGAUUAGAUACCCCUGUAGUCCCUGAGCGGGCUGGCAAGGCGCAU